AUACAUGCAAGUCGAACGAGUUCUCGUUGAUGAUCGGUGCUUGCACCGAGAUUCAACAUGGAACGAGUGGCGGACGGGUGAGUAACACGUGGGUAACCUGCCCUUAAGUGGGGGAUAACAUUUGGAAACAGAUGCUAAUACCGCAUAGAUCCAAGAACCGCAUGGUUCUUGGCUGAAAGAUGGCGUAAGCUAUCGCUUUUGGAUGGACCCGCGGCGUAUUAGCUAGUUGGUGAGGUAAUGGCUCACCAAGGCGAUGAUACGUAGCCGAACUGAGAGGUUGAUCGGCCACAUUGGGACUGAGACACGGCCCAAACUCCUACGGGAGGCAGCAGUAGGGAAUCUUCCACAAUGGACGCAAGUCUGAUGGAGCAACGCCGCGUGAGUGAAGAAGGCUUUCGGGUCGUAAAACUCUGUUGUUGGAGAAGAAUGGUCGGCAGAGUAACUGUUGUCGGCGUGACGGUAUCCAACCAGAAAGCCACGGCUAACUACGUGCCAGCAGCCGCGGUAAUACGUAGGUGGCAAGCGUUAUCCGGAUUUAUUGGGCGUAAAGCGAGCGCAGGCGGUUUUUUAAGUCUGAUGUGAAAGCCCUCGGCUUAACCGAGGAAGCGCAUCGGAAACUGGGAAACUUGAGUGCAGAAGAGGACAGUGGAACUCCAUGUGUAGCGGUGAAAUGCGUAGAUAUAUGGAAGAACACCAGUGGC
This 701-nucleotide ribosomal RNA is filed under the name Lactobacillus casei group sp. RNAcentral describes it as "bacterial SSU rRNA". It matches the Rfam family "Bacterial small subunit ribosomal RNA", at positions 51 to 716 of the family's 1533-position model. The record is from RNAcentral. Lineage: Bacteria; Bacillati; Bacillota; Bacilli; Lactobacillales; Lactobacillaceae.